This 21-nucleotide small nuclear RNA is filed under the name Arabidopsis thaliana (thale cress). RNAcentral's name for it is "snRNA_01944". The record is from RNAcentral. Lineage: Eukaryota; Viridiplantae; Streptophyta; Magnoliopsida; Brassicales; Brassicaceae.
GAGAAUUUUUCCAGGGAGAUU